CCUACGGGAGGCAGCAGUGAGGAAUAUUGGUCAAUGGGCGCGAGCCUGAACCAGCCAAGUAGCGUGAAGGAUGACUGCCCUACGGGUUGUAAACUUCUUUUAUACAGGAGUAAAGUGAGGCACGUGUGUCUUUUUGUAUGUACUUUAUGAAUAAGGAUCGGCUAACUCCGUGCCAGCAGCCGCGGUAAUACGGAGGAUCCGAGCGUUAUCCGGAUUUAUUGGGUUUAAAGGGAGCGUAGGUGGGUUGUUAAGUCAGUUGUGAAAGUUUGCGGCUCAACUGGAAAAUUGCAAUUGAUACUGGCAGACUUGAGUGCAGUUGAGGUAGGCGGAAUGCGUGGUGUAGCGGUGAAAUGCUUAGAUAUCACGAAGAACACCGAUUGCGAAGGCAGCUUACUAAGCUGCCACUGACAUUGAUGCUCGAAAGUGUGGGUAGCAAACAGGAUUAGAUACCCUAGUAGUC
This 460-nucleotide ribosomal RNA is filed under the name uncultured bacterium. RNAcentral describes it as "partial 16S ribosomal RNA". It matches the Rfam family "Bacterial small subunit ribosomal RNA", at positions 338 to 795 of the family's 1533-position model. The record is from RNAcentral.